This is a long non-coding RNA of Homo sapiens (human), 1587 nucleotides long. Ensembl annotates it as G-quadruplex forming sequence containing lncRNA. Its record names the gene GSEC. The record is from Ensembl. NCBI's taxonomy places the organism in Eukaryota, Metazoa, Chordata, Mammalia, Primates, Hominidae.
AGAAAGGGCGGGGUGGAGGAGGGGGAAGGGCGGGGGUGAUGCCGCGCGGUCGCAGGCUUGGGAUGGUGUUCGCGCCUCCGAGACCCGGACAGAGGCAAGCAGGGGCGCCGUGGGUGCCAGAGAGGCGGAAGAGGAGGCCUGAUGGGGAUACCUUCCUGCUGUCCUUCCUGAGCACAACCUGGCUGAAAACCUGGAGGUCACAACAGUACAAAGAAUCAAAGUCAAGAUCUUGUGCCAGAGAGCAAAUGAACUCUUCCUCUUGCUGAGAAAACCCACCCUGCUCACCUAAACCCUGGCCUUGCCUGGUAAUUCCAUCCAUGCGCCUGGAAGGCCCCAGACAUCAAGGCUCUGAGGGGCCAGGCACGGGGAGAACCCAGCAGUGCCCUGCCCUGCAGUCUGAGCUACCAGAUUCCUUGUGAAGAUAAUUUGAGGACCAUGACUCACCCAACCACAUUUCCUGGGGCCUCAAAUUGAAAAUUCAGGAUGGGCUUUUCUAUAUGACUGGCUGAUAUCCAACUAUGCCAUGGUCUUUACAUGCCAUGAACAUUCUUUCCUGCCAGAGUUCUAAGAAUCUGUGUUCUCUGCCUUAGACCUUCUGCAGAUGAGCCCACAGGAAGCUCCACGUGUAGCUGAGCUACAUGCACCAGGCCUCAGUUUGCCCCAAGUCCCCUGUGUACUCUCUCAUGGCCUGUGGCCAAGAAAUGUAUUCUCUCACUUUGGACUUAGGAGUCCAAAGAGAAGCCCAGAAACAAAAUUGCUUGAACUUGAAUUUGUGUGCGUGCGCACGUGUGCACGUGGUGGUGAAGGUGUAUGUUUUCGGCUGUUCUAUGCGUCACUGUCACCAAACUCCCAAAUAAUAGUAACAUUUGUUUAGAUGAUGUCUGCUGACAAAUCACAAACACGACGCUAACUCGCAACUCUCUGCUCCACUGGCACAGAAUAGGGCAUGGAGCCUGGUGCUGGGUGUCAGCCCAUGGUGUUGGGUGUCAGUUCACAGGCUGGGUAAGGGAGGGAAAAUAAUCCAUUCUUUGAUAUUAGACAUGACCCAAAAUUUCCUGCUGGCAGCCAAAGGCCUCCUCGCUCAGAGAAGUCAUCUGAAAAAAGCUAGCCCAGGGGCAGGAAAGGGCCUCAGGCUGGCGCCCCAGAAGGUGGCCCAUCAGUCACUCUGGGAAGACAGAUAGACAUCGUCAGUCUCUUUUUACAAGUCAAGACAGUAAAAUCAAAGUAAUAGUUUCCUGGCAGGAAGAAAGAGAAUUGCUGGAGCGUUGGAGAGCCAUCUCUUAACCUCUGGGGUGACUCAAAGGAAGAGUUGCCUGGUCUGAGAACUUUAGACCAAAGAAUUUAAAUCAUGUGAACUGAAAAUGCAUGUGUAUCCAUAUAUACAUGUACAUAUAUGUUUAUAUACCCAAUAUAGAAAGGUUACCAGAGACAAAGAAAUAGCAACAAUAGUUGUUUUGGGGAAGGGAAAGGAAGGGCUGUGGGGUGAGGAAGCAUACUUUCACUGAAUAUCCUCUGUACUGUGUGCAUUUUUGCCACAUGCAUGAACUAAACCUACAAGAAAAUAAACAAAUAAAAAAAAAGAACACA